AGACAUGUGCUUUCCGAUCUGAUGCUCUACCGACUGAGCUAUCCAGGC
This 48-nucleotide long non-coding RNA is filed under the name Apis florea (little honeybee). Its description in RNAcentral is "uncharacterized LOC116415131". Lineage: Eukaryota; Metazoa; Arthropoda; Insecta; Hymenoptera; Apidae. The record is from RNAcentral.